AUUGAACGCUGGCGGCAUGCCUUACACAUGCAAGUCGAACGGCAGCACGGGAGCAAUCCUGGUGGCGAGUGGCGAACGGGUGAGUAAUAUAUCGGAACGUGCCCAGUCGUGGGGGAUAACGUAGCGAAAGCUACGCUAAUACCGCAUACGAUCUAUGGAUGAAAGCGGGGGAUCGCAAGACCUCGCGCGAUUGGAGCGGCCGAUAUCAGAUUAGGUAGUUGGGGAGGUAAAGGCUCACCAGGCCGACGAUCUGUAGCUGGUCUGAGAGGACGACCAGCCACACUGGGACUGAGACACGGCCCAGACUCCUACGGGAGGCAGCAGUGGGGAAUUUUGGACAAUGGGCGAAAGCCUGAUCCAGCAAUGCCGCGUGCAGGAUGAAGGCCUUCGGGUUGUAAACUGCUUUUGUACGGAACGAAACGGCGAGCUCUAAUACAGUUUGCUAAUGACGGUACCGUAAGAAUAAGCACCGGCUAACUACGUGCCAGCCGCCGCCGCGG
RNAcentral lists this ribosomal RNA (500 nucleotides) under uncultured bacterium. RNAcentral's name for it is "partial 16S ribosomal RNA". It matches the Rfam family "Bacterial small subunit ribosomal RNA", at positions 30 to 523 of the family's 1533-position model. The record is from RNAcentral.